Microplitis mediator is the source of this 5649-nucleotide long non-coding RNA. RefSeq lists it as uncharacterized. The transcript is spliced from 3 exons. The record is from RefSeq and is a predicted model, not a curated record. NCBI's taxonomy places the organism in Eukaryota, Metazoa, Arthropoda, Insecta, Hymenoptera, Braconidae.
CUACUACUAUAUAUUGUAUGUACUGUUGUGAUAGUAGUAGUAGUAGGUACUGGGUAGUGGUAGUGGUUAUCAAAGUGGGAGGAAAAUACGAGACGUGAGGGUGCGCAGGGGCUCCGUCACCACCGAGCGACGCAGUGCCGUCGGGACGCUCAACCGGAUAGCGUUGAAAUAAUCGCGAAGUAGAAUUGAAUGUACACUUUAUUAAGCGACAUCUUGGUUGGUUGGUUGGUUGGUUAGUCAGUUACUUGCUAACAAAGUUCAGCUGGAAAAAUAUAACUUGUUCACUAACAGUUCAUUAACAAAAUUGUUAAUUAUUAUUGUUAUCAUAAAUGUGUGAUGGUGUCUAGAAUAUUGUCCUGUCACAGCAGUACGCAUUUAAUAAGUUACUGGUGUGAUGGGACAUUGUCCUGGAUCCAUUGCCAAUCAUCUUAUCUUCAACAAAUCAUCAUACAUACGAUAUAUUGUAUACAUAGUUUAAUGCAUAAACAGGAGUGAUAUAUAUCUGUAUAUUAGUAGUGAUGGUAUAUACAAACAAAAAUAAGUUAACAAUCAUAAUAAUAAAUAAAAUAAAAUAAUAAUAAUUAUCAAGUUUUUCUAUUGAAAAAAAAAAAAGAAAAAAUAAAAAAAAUGUUUAUUUAACGAGUUGGUUGUAAUAAAAGUAUGGAUGAGAGUAAGUGAGAAAAUGAGAGAAUGAUAUAUGUUGUAUAGAAGAAAAAUCCCUUGCGCCACCACCCCAACGGAAAAGUACGACUUUAACCGAGCACGCGCUCCACCCACGUAAAUUAAAUGGAUGGAUGGAUGGAAUAAUAGUGAUAUGAGAGCUAGCAAAAGCAAGGGAAAGCAAAAGAAGGCAAAAGAAAGUAGUAUUCUGAGUUGUGAAAAGGGGGUUGCUAAUGAGGAAUUUUUUUCGUGAGUUGUUACCAUCAAGUAGGAGGUAUGGUAUACUUAUAUUUCUACCAAAGUCCCAUUUUUAUUUUUUUAUGUUUUGUCAAAAUAUUUUAACGGUCGAUAAAGGUGUAGCAAACAAACUUCCGGUCGAUAUAUGGGUGCGCCGCUCCCUUAUUAUUAUUAUUAUUACUAUUGUUGCUAUUAUAAUUUAUUUUAUAUAAUAAUAAUAAUAAUAAUAUUUGCGGACUGUGAGAUUUAUAAAUCAGAUGACAUAUAUUAUGUAUAUACUUAUUUGUUUUAUGUAAUUGACUUUGUUAAUGAAUAAAUAAAAAGGAAUAUAUAGCGAAAAAUACAAAGUGAUGAUAAAGUGAUUAAAUAUAUUAAUGAUAAAUAAAUAGUAAAUAAAAAAUAAAAAAUUGAUUAGCCGUGGAUAAACGGGCGAGGCUCCUGAUGGUUGUUGGAGGAUUUAGAAAAGGGGUUGUUUGCUAAAGAGAGAAAGAGAAAGAAAAUUUGUCGAUGGUGGAGAGGGUCGAGAGGGUGAAGUAACAGCACGGGAUAGGAGUGGAAGCAGCAAACCCUUGGUCGUUGGUUGAGGGCACCACCACCAGAUGGCUCCAUCACAUUAACGUGGAAAAAGAUUAUUUUUCAGUGAAAACAAUAAUAUUAUUCAUUUUCUUCAAGUGGAUUUUAUAAAUCAUGAUGCAACACGACAUUCAUGGAAUGAAAACUCUUUUAAGACUUUCAGCACCACCACCAUACCACCACCACCACCACCACCACCACCACCAACAGCAGCAGCAACGAUAGCAGGAGGAGAAAGAGAAGGAGGAGAAGGAGGGGUGAGCAACCAACAAACUAAACUGAGUGACAACGCGCAUGCGAUCCUUGGGCUUCCUUUUCCUUCUUCUUUUUCGCGCAACUAGUUAAAACAAAGGACUAAUGUUAUUAUUAAUAUAUCAUAAAAUAACUCUAAAUAGUUUAUUAAUUUAAUUAAUUUAUUGCUGUUGUUUAAUAAUGAAAAUUCCAACUAAACAGAGAUAGAGUUAGAGCAAGGAAUGUAAUCGGCUAGAGAGGUCGACUGACAAGUCACUGGAGUCUUGGAAACAGGACGUUAUCAGCCAGGUUUAAUCACAGAUUAUCCAUAAACUCUCUCAAGAAUAACGUACUAGCUUUUUUUCCCUUGUUUUUCUUAAAUAAUGUACAUUAAUGGAUAUUUUAUUUUAAUAUCGUUGAAAAACAAAAAAUAUAUACAUAUAUACAAGUGAUUUUACUAUUAUUUUAUAUUAAUAGAUAAACAGAUGCGGAUAGUGACAAUUAAUCAUUAUUGUUAAUUAGUAUCGAUUUUCGAGGUUAGCAUGCAUAAAGAGGAAAGGACAAGGGAAUAGGGUCCGUUAUAGUAUCGCUAAAACCACGAACGGAUGUUGUUACAGCUCAGCAAUGGCGACCAAUUGCUUCAGACAUAUACAAGUAUAGGAUAUAUAUACUACUACUAUUACUACCAGAAACCAGAAAAAGAUACAUACAACGUCGACGACGACAACGACGACAACGACGAUGACGAAGAUGAUGACAUUUCUACCCUUUAGUGUUCUACUAGUAGCAAGUAACAACUUGAUUGUGCUCUCUGGUCGUGAGUAAAGUCCACUACCACCGUAUUCGUCGUAAUCAUCCAAUGAAGUAGUGUACUAUUAACAUUAGUUUUCUCAUUUUUGUUUUUUUUCUCUUAAUUCUCUACCUCCUGGAGUUUAUGUAAUAACGACCGAUGGACUAUGUAUCGCGUCACUAUUAGUAAUAUUUGUAACCAAACAUACAAAUACAACGCAUGUACUCGGCAAGUGCGAUGGCUAAUAUUACAACAACAAUAACAAUCAUUAUAACUAUAUAUGCUACCUAAUCAUAUAGUUUUAUAUUUAAACUGUUACUAUAAAUAUUAAAUAUCAAUAUAUAAAGAGGAUAAGUAAUAGGUAUUUAGAUCGGAAUACUUCAGAGAGUGUUGUACACAACUCUGAUGGUUCUGGUACACUAGUUUUAUAAUAGUUUAAGUAUAUACAGGGACUGGUGCGUGUCGAAAUCUGUUGCUGAAGAUUUAAGGUGUUGAUAACAAUGAUAGGCCACGGCGUCUGGCUUUAGAUCAUUUAUUUCUUGUAUAUACAUUUAAACCCUAUCUUUUAAGUACCUAUAAACUAUUUAUAACGAUUUUUCGUUAUAAAUAACUCAUGUUUUUUAACGGUAAAAUAAUACCACUAAGUUAAUUUAGAUUAUUAUUAUUAUUAUGCCUUAAAGACUGAUCCCAGUAGUAUUUAUAAUUAACAUCAAUAUAUAAAAACUUAAUAUAUGCAAUAAAUAUUAAUAGAGAUUUCAGAUGGCAAUGAAGAGCUCUGGUGAUGGUAAGAGUAAUAUCCCAUGCAACCAUGCUGGAAAAAUCAACAACACGUGCAAACUGCUGGAUACUUGGCUAGUUUCGAGAUUCGUGCGACCGGAUGAUAGAAUUUAAUUCACGCCGGAUAAUGUAGACCACAGAGAAAGAGUAAUUUUAGGGGUUAAAAAAAUAUAAGUACAACAAGGAAAAAGAAAGAAAAAAAGAGAAUGUAAAAAAAUAAUAACAAUAAUAAAUUAAUAAAUAAUGAAAGUAAAAAGUUAUUAUAGAUAGAAACAAUAUAAUAAGAUUAUAAUUAGAUUUAUAGAAGGGGUAGGAAUAUUGUUGGAAAUCUGGAAUUUUGGAUCGCAGAGAAUUUAACUCGGGUAAUCUUCGGCAUUAUAUUAGUGAAUGCCAACUACCAUUAUCAGAGAACUAUUACUAUUGCUAUUACCAUCACCAUCACACAUAUCAUACAAUUCCUAUAUUAUACAAUAACAAUAAAUAAAUAAUAAAUAAACAAAUACGUUUGAAUAAGUUGCGACAGUGAAUUUUAAUUACCUUUAUUCUAACAUAUUUAUAUUUCAUUCAGUUAAAAUCAUAUCACAGUAGAUUAUGCAUUAGUUUUUAAUUUAACGUUGUUUAAUUAUAACGAUAUAAAUAAACUAAAAAAUAUUUUUAAUUAGGCAUUAGCUAUUAUACAUAUAUACUGUAUUAUUUAUAAAAAUAAAUCUAAAAAAACUGACAAAUUACAUUAAUAUUUCUACGACACUCCAUCUCUAAAUAAUAUACUAACUAAGUCAUCAUCAUUUCUUGUUAAUACUAAAAUACUUCCAUCAUAUAUACACUAGCGGGCAGUUUAUCGCUUCUCUACUCUCAGUGAUGAUGCGCCUAAAUUAUCUCAACAUUACUGUCACUGUCACCGUCACUGUCACUGCCAAGCUCACUAUUUAUAUUAUAUAUACUAUAAUAAUUUUUAUUUUUAAUAACUCUCGCUGCUGUUGUAAUAUUUCUCGUGGUCACGAUAGUAGAAAGGAUGAGUUUAUAAUAAUAACGUAUAGUAUUAAAAAGAAAGAAAGAAAAAAAAAAAAAAAGAGUUACAAAGGGCGAGAGUUUCUAGAAUUAGUCUGAAAGAAGAAAAGAAACCGUUCAUACCCUCUUAGUAAGAGGAUGAAGUAUAGGAGAAUCACAUCGCAAGCAGUGCAAAAAAAUUCCAUAAAAGCGAAAGCUUUAAUCAGAAAAACUAAAAAGGACCUAUUUUUCAUUUGUGAGGAGUAAGCUCUAUCAAAAAAGAAACUACAUCGCAGGCUUUCUUUUUUUUUUUAUUAUACAAAAAAGUUGUAUAUGCAUAACACGUAAUUUUUUUUAUCAGGUCAAUUUAAUCAUAAAAUUUAUGUAAAAGGAAAAAAAAAUUAUUAAUUUAAAAAUUGUUAAAGCUCCAUAUCUCUUUCAUGUUGUCCUACUUUCUCAUAAAUUUUUUUAACGGAAUAAUAAUAAUAAUAAUCACAAAAAUAUGAAUAAAAACAAAAAAGAUUAGGAGUUAUGGUGUAAGUUGUGAAUGAAAAUUUGAAAUUGCUCAUGAGCUCGGGAAUUCCCCGAGAAUUCAGAUGAAAAUAAGAGAAGCUUAUCUCUUGGUGCACACUGCUCGUACUGUGGAAAAGCUUUAAGCGUGUAUGGAAUUUAGAAUAUUACCGUUGCGAUAAUAACCCUAAAUAUUUUUUGUGUGCACUACAGAUUUGCUUUAAACUAUUCAAAUAAUUUUUUUUAAAUUUCAAUUAUAAUAAUCUUUUUUAUAUCGUUAAUAUUGUUAUUUUAUUUAAAUAAAAUCAUUUAGCUAUAACGAUGUCUAUAAUUCUGUUAUAAAUACAACCAUUCAUUUUAUAAAUCUAUAUACUUUAUCCAAAGAUAUAUACUCGAUGAAAAUUUAUAAAAUAAAGUGCGCCGGCGCUUAUAUCUGUACAUAACUAUAUAAACUAUAUGUGUGUACGUUAUAAAUGUCGAUUAAACUCAAGUGCACUCACGUUUGUUUGCUCUUAUUAAUGUAAAAAUAAAAGACAUAAAUAUCUACUAUUUUAGAAUCUCGAUAUGACUUGUAAAUAAAUUUUUUAAAUGAGACAAUUAAUAUUCUCUCUCGUGUAUCGUUCUCACUGUCAUCAUUAUUGUUCGAAUUUUUAUUAGAAAUCGCAUGCCUUUUCAUUUUAUAUAAUACUUAUUGAAUAUAUAUGUAUAUAAAAUAAUACUACCAUGUAAACACAAUUUUAAAUAAAAAAAAAAAAAAGUUAAAGUGCCACCUGUUAUUUAUUGAUUCGAGACACGCUAUGCUACUUAGUUAAUUAUUAUUUAAAUAUAUUACUUUCGAAGCAUUAAAAUAGACUCAGACAUAGUAAAAACAAAAAUGGAACAUU